GAUGAACGCUAGCUGCAGGCUUAACACAUGCAAGUCGCGGGGCAGCAUGGGGGUUGCUUGCAACCCCUGAUGGCGACCGGCGCACGGGUGAGUAACGCGUAUCCAACCUGCCCUUCACCACGGGAUAACCCGGCGAAAGUCGGACUAAUACCGUAUGUUGUCCAUUGACGGCAUCCGAUUUGGACGAAGGGCUUGGCGGUGAAAGGAUGGGGAUGCGUCCGAUUAGCUUGACGGGGGGGUAACGGCCCACCGUGGCUACGAUCGGUAGGGGUUCUGAGAGGAAGGUCCCCCACACUGGAACUGAGACACGGUCCAGACUCCUACGGGAGGCAGCAGUGAGGAAUAGUGGUCAAUGGGCGUAAGCCUGAACCAGCCAAGUAGCGUGCAGGAGGACGGCCCUAUGGGUUGUAAACUGCUUUUAUGCGGGGAUAAAGUGGCCCACGGGUGGGCUUUUGCAGGUACCGCAUGAAUAAGGACCGGCUAAUUCCGUG
Molecule: ribosomal RNA, 491 nt
Filed under: uncultured bacterium
Lineage: Bacteria
Description: partial 16S ribosomal RNA
Rfam family: Bacterial small subunit ribosomal RNA
Source: RNAcentral